ACAACAUUCAGACCGUCGGUCUACCGAGCAAUAUCACCCGCUCGGUGGCAGAUCUGCCAAUCUUCCA
RNAcentral lists this microRNA precursor (67 nucleotides) under Bombyx mori (domestic silkworm). RNAcentral describes it as "mir-2774 microRNA precursor family". It matches the Rfam family "mir-2774 microRNA precursor family". Lineage: Eukaryota; Metazoa; Arthropoda; Insecta; Lepidoptera; Bombycidae. The record is from Rfam by way of RNAcentral.